UACGAACUGUGCGAACGUUAUUCGGAAUCACUGGGCUUAAAGGGUGCGUAGGCGGUUAUCUAAGUCAGGUGUGAAAUCUUUCGGCUCAACCGGAAAACUGCGCUUGAUACUGGAUGACUUGAGUGAGGUAGGGGUGUGUGGAACUUCCGGUGGAGCGGUGAAAUGUGUAGAUAUCGGAAGGAACGCCAGCAGCGAGAGCGGCACACUGGGCCUUUUCUGACGCUGAGGCACGAAAGCUAGGGGAGCGAACGGG
This 253-nucleotide ribosomal RNA is filed under the name uncultured bacterium. RNAcentral's name for it is "partial 16S ribosomal RNA". It matches the Rfam family "Bacterial small subunit ribosomal RNA", at positions 524 to 776 of the family's 1533-position model. The record is from RNAcentral.